AGACAAAAGUUUGAAGAGAUAGGAUCUGAAUGCCGCAGCCUCAAAGAGGAGACGAUGAACAUUGCCAAGCAGAGUGAUUACAACCAAGUCAGGAUCAACCUAAUGCUUAGCAUCUUGAAAGCCCGUGAAGACAACAACUUUGCCCAUGCUGAUCACCUCACUGGGCUCCUCCGGUUGGUUAAAUUCCCUUCGCCAUUUCUUUUCUUAAUUCUUGGGAUAUUGGAUUCGAUAAUUAAUCUUGCUAAUGCUAGCUAUUACAAGGAGGGAAACAUAAGCUAACGAACUCAAAAUAAAAGAAUCAAAAUGCACUGUUGAUAAGUAAUCUUCUCUCAAUCAUUGUGUUUCCUAUUCGUUGUGUUGCCAGCGAGGAAAUGGAAAAGCAGGAACAAGGAAAGGCAGGCCUGGUUGGCUGACCAAUGAUCAUGGAAAACAAGGAGCAGUUUGCCUUUGCAGUGACUCCUGAUCGUCUUUUCUUAUUAAAAUGAAAUCAUCAGUCCUAAAUCGAGAUAUGUAUUGACAUUAGUCUUCCCUUGAUAUCCUUCUUCCUUUGAUGAAGUAUUCAUUUGAUUAAGGAUUUGCGUUCUGUGAUCCUAGUUGAAUGUUCUGAGUUAUAGUAUAUAUACUAGGUGAAUUGCCGGGCGAUGCCGCCGGUUGUUAUAUAAACGGUAUAAGCAUUCGGUUGAGUAUAACCUGAGGUAAUCGAAGAAGAAGAAGAUAGGCAGACAUAAUUAAACAAAAUGAAAAAAAAUACCAGAACUAUUGAGGUUAAACAAUGCAACCACAUGCUCUCUGUUAGAGAAACACAAAGUCUUAACUAGCCUGUUUAGCUUUGCAGUAUUCGGUUGUUUUUUUUAUUUGGAUUUUUAAAAUUUAUUUUUUAUAUUAAUAUAUUAAUUUAAAAAUAAAAAAAAAUUAUUACAAAAAUUAUUUUUUUAGAAAACAACAGUGUGGCAUCAAUAACAAACAGUCUCGAAAAGUCUCAAAUAUAAAGCCACGUGUGCAUAAUAAAUUGUAAUUAAUUUGGAAUUUAUUUUCUAAAUAUUACUAAUUUAAAUGUUAUAAAUCUCAAAGUAAUUUAUCUGAUUUUUAAUUUUAUAGUUUUGAAAAAUUAAUCAAAAUAUAAAUAAGUUGGUCUAGACAUUUAUGAUUAUAUAUAAAAAAAAACAAGAAGAAAAGAAAAAAUUAAAGAGCUCCAGACUUUUUGACCGUGCAUUCUCAUUUCACUUUGAAUUCCAGUGAAAUUAUUAUUUUCCUUUGGAAAAAAGAACUUGUUUAACUUUGUCUCAGGUGUAGAGAGGUGUUUUCAAUGGGAUUUAUUAGCUAUCAUUAUUUUUAAUAGGGAGAAGUUAGUUUGUUUGCGUUUUAAAUAAAGUGUAAUGAUUUAAACACUUUUAAAAGUAAAGAAAAAAAACUAGUAGAAAUAGUUUUAUGGUUUUAUAGUAAAAGAAUCAUACUAUCAUUAAAAAAAUAUAUUAUAAAACUUGCAUUUAAAAAUAUUUAGGUCUUUUCAUCUUUUCAACACGGUUAUUUUGUAAUUAUAUAUUUGGAUUAAAAACAAUUAAAUCUUUAAUCAUAUAUAAAAAAAAAAUUAAAUGGUUGAUGUGUGUCUCACAUGCGUUAAUAAGCGGAAAGUGCUUAUGCUCUUCGGGUUAUAUGUGUCUACCCUAUCAAUAGUUAAAAGUUUGUGUCAAUGACAAUGUUUGAAACGGUGGGUCAUCCUCUUUGUAGUGGUGGGAUGCUUGUUCAUGAAUGAAUUGCGGUUGAACUUCUUAUAAACAUUUUUUUUUCUCGCUCUCUCCUAGUUUAGAAAUUGACACCAACUCUUUUAAAAAUCUAUUAUCUAUUGUGUUCUUUAAUUUGUGUUUUUAUUAUUUUUUAUCCUUAUUUUAUUUAUUUUCAAUUGUUUUUACUUUUAAUGCAUUUUAAUCUUUAAUUGUUUUGCAAUUUCAUCCAUAUGAAUUUUAUUUUAUUUAAUUUUUAUAUCAAAUUUGAUUUUUUUUUUGUUUUUAUACUUUUCUAGAUUUAUUUUUCAAUUUUACCUCUCAUUAUUUUAUUUUUGUAUUCAAUUUUAAUCCUUAUUUUUUAUUGCUAUUUUUUGUUAUUUUCUUAAUUUUUUUCAUUUUUAAUUUUAGUCCCUCAUUGUUUGUUUGUUUGUUUCAUUUAGCUUUUAUGCUAGAUUUAGUCAUUGUUGUUUUGAUUGUUAUUUAUUUAGGCUUUUAAUUUUGGAUAAUUAAUGAUUUUGCUUAGUGAUUUUUUAUUGUUUUUUUUAUGAGGUAAUCUCGAUUUUAUGAACCAGGUCAUCAUUUUCGAGGAUUAAUCUGAUUUAACUUUUAUCUUUUCAUUUCUUAAAAAAAAAAAACCAAAAUGAUUAUUUUUUAAUUUCAUCAUUUUAUUUUAGGUUAUCAGGUCUAGAGUGUUUUUUUUUUUUUGCUUUCCUUUAUGUGGUGUUAUUCCGGUGUUAUAUCUUAGGUUAAGUUUUUUUCGAGUUAACCCAGGUUCAUUCAAGUUUUUUUUUUUUUGAAUCUUUUUCAAUUUAGUUUUUCCGAAUUUAAUCUCUUAAUAUUAAGUCAUUGAGUCUUGAAUUUUUGUUUUUCAAUGAAUUUAACAUGUUCUCAAAUCUUGAAUCUCAAAAUUUUCUUUUUUCUAUUUUUUAUAUUUUUUGAAAUUAAUUUUUUUAUCUCAUUAUUUAAAGUUAUGUUAUUAGACAUUCAAUUUUGUAAUAUUUUUUAUUUUUUUAUUGUAAAUUAUCAUGGAUAGUUAGUUAGUCAAAUUAACUUAGGUUAACAAAGUUUUUUUUUAAUAUUUUUUAUUUCACUAUCAUCUCGAGGUCAUUGUUUUUAAAAAAUUAUUUUUUUUAAUCUUGAUCUGGGUCGCAUGGUAGUCCAACUAAUCUGAGUUAAGUUAAAGUUUUUCUCAAUGUUUUUAUAAAUAAUUUGUUUUUUAAUUUUACCAGGCUCACAACAGUGUAGCGUAAAACUAAAAGUUGUAUCAUAAGAAGGUUGAGGACAUUUGUAGGUCGGCUAAUGCUGGCCAUAAAUAGCCAUGUAUGUGAAGCUAUGCAGGUGUGCUAGUGGACACAAAAACACUUAUGCAGAAAAGUGUGCUGAAUGUUCUGGUAGUUCCAAAAAGAAUCACAUAAAUAGUUGUGAAAUUUAAUAUUUUAAAGUUGUUUUAUGGGAAACAUGAUAUUUCAAAAAUAUAUUUGUUAAAUGACUUCACAAUUUACGAUGACGAGAGAAAAAUAAAAUAAAUACUUUAAUUAUACAUCAAAUCUAUCAUCAAAAUAACUCGACGAUGUGAAUCUAAUAAAAUUAAAGAAGUUCACCAAGUAGAUCACACUCAUUGAAGCUCUAAUUAUAAUAUCACUAGUAGCAUUAUAAAGUUCUGGACAAAAUAAAUCAAAUAUAAACAAUAAAGAUAAUCAAUGAUAAUGAUAAUUGAAGUGGGUCAUAUAUAAUAGGCGGAAAACAUGGUGAAAUCUAGGGUUAAGAUUAAAAAAGAUGAUGGAAGGGAAGAUGAAGGUGAAGAUGGAGAACAAUAAUCAGAUUAGCGAGAAGAACAGGUAUCAAAAUUCUGGAUGGAGAAGUUCCAGUUUUCCAGACUGCAACAGUAGAAAUGAUAAGAACACCUGCUAAGAAGGCCAGUAAUCUGUCGUGAAUGAAGAAAUUCAUGGAUGGUAGCAGCGAGAUUUAGCAUGAAGCAUUUAACUUGUUUUCUCUAUUGUAAUUCAUGUCGCUAGAGGUAAUAGAAUUGCACUUGUCUUGCCAGCAUUUAUAGAGAUAUGAAUCUGUUGAAAGGGAAAUUAAAUCGUAGAGUCAACCUUGUUGCGGAUUCCAAAGGGAAACCAUGAUGGUUUAACAGUUAAGCUUUGGUCAUCAAUGCAAUUGGUUCAGGUUGGGGUUUGGAAGAGGUUCGGUGAACUGCGGCGGCCGGAGCCUAAUCUGAUUAGGAGUGGGUACCCUAGGUUGGUUCGGUGGAACAAAUUGAAACUGGAAGUUGAGAAUGUUUCGUUGGUUCUAGACUCGGAUAAAGAGAGUUUUAGCUCUGGAAAACUGGGAUUUCCUCAAGUUUUAUGGAGAAAAAGAAAGGUGGGCCGGCGACUGUUGGUUCUAGUUUGAAAGACGAUUUAAUGGCAUUUGCUCGAGGCGUCAACGCUGUGUGGAGUUGGCUGUUCAGAACAGUAUUUACCUCAUAGGGUUGCAAUGCAAUUCGGAACCGACGAAGAUCUUUCAGGGUUGUGUUGGUCAAUGCUCUAAUUAACAGACCUGAGAUUGCAGAGAGCUUAAAGCUUUUGUUGAGAGCUUGAGCAGAUGAUCACACGAAUAAAAACAGCAAGAUUAAGACAAAAAUUGUUAACCUAGCUAGCCUUCUUCGUGAGAACGAUUUGCUUGAUUUUAUUUUAUUUGAAUUCAUGGCUUCUCUUCUCCUGUUGGCUAUGCUACUAACAUGGCAGGAGGCAUUGCAGCAGGUCCUAGAUGGAUAACUCCCGCCAUUAACAACAGAUGCAGAACAAGGUUAAAAGGAUAAUAGAAAUAAAUAUAUUCAUAAAGUAACCAUGCACUAUGGCAUGAAGUUAUUAUCACAGUGUGCAGACAAAUGCCGUGUGCUGCUGUACCCAACGCAGAGCCUACUAGGCGUUAUCUGUUCUGCCCACCCAAUCCUGACUAGAUAAGCACUUGAGAGUUUUUUUUCUUAUUUUAUGAAGUUGAUUUGAAGUGUUGAUUUGAUAUAAAAAUUUUAAGGAGAGAUAUUUUCCUUCAAAUAUUAAGACCAAUUUGAAAUUUGUAGAUUAACUUACAAAUUUUUAAUAAUUUUUAUUAAAAAUUAUCUUUUAUUUAUUUAUAUAAUAGUUUAAAUAAAAGCAAUAGAAACUAGUAGAAUUCAGCAUUAAUUAAAUUGAUUUAGAUUUAGAUAACUUUAUAAAUAUCAAAUCCAAAUAAAUUAUAACUAAUUUAAAAUCAAUCAAAUAUUAAAAGAAUUUUUUAAUAUUAAAACAAUGAUAUAUUAAAUCAAUCUAAAACUUUACACUUUAAUUUGUAAAACCCGUAACUUGAACCAUGAACUCCACUUGAAAAAUUAAAAAAAAUUAAAUUAUUAUGAUCAUCAAGCACAAACAACAAUAAUAAUUCAGGAUUUUUACUGAAAGUAGAAUCCAUCAUACAUGUUGUUGAUUAUUGAGUUAUAAUCGGUCCGUACAUGAAAAGGAAUGAAUUUAGAGUUAUUAAACUCUGUCGACCGGUGGAUGGACUGAUCUGGGUUUGUUAAAAGACCAACCGGUGCAAUGAUCCGGCAAAACCCAGUCAACCUGUAAGAUUCCACAUCGGGGGGUGAGGGGUGUGUUGCUGGCCUUAUAAGUGGUACUGGUUGCCGACUUGUUAUACGCGUUUUGGGACGUCAGGCUUAGAAUUAGGCUCGCGUCACCAGGAACAAAACCGUGAGGGCGGUAAGGCCUAAAGCGGACAAUAUAUGACAAGUUGGGCCGGGCCGUUACACGACCCGUGACCCAGAUAAAACCCGAAUUUUUUUUUUUAAAAUGUGGUUUUUCUUCUACACUCCCUUUUUUAUUUUUAUUUUAGUUGGUUAUUAACACUUUUUAAAGUUCACUAUAUAAAUACUAGAAAUAUAUAUUUUUUUUUCAAUGUGGGAUUGAAACCCUUUAGAAUAUACUUUAUGUUUCCAAGAAAAAAGUUAUUUUUUUAAUGUAAGAUUUCAAGCCCUUUCAUAUAUAUACUUUAUGAUCAUAAGAAAAAAGUUGUGUUUUUUUAAAGUGAGAUAUAAAACCCUUUAGUACAUAUACUCUAUGUUCCUAAGAAAAAAGUUUUUUCAAUAUGUGAUUUGAAGCCUUUUCGUAUAUAUACUCUAUAUUCACAAGAAAAAUAUUAUGUUUUUUCAAUGCGGGAUAAUAAGUUUUUUGGUUUAAAUAUUUCAACUUAAAAGGAUGACAUAAUAUAUUUUCAAUGUGAGAUUUGAAACUCUUUAAUAUAUAUAUAUAUACACACCUAUGUUUCCAAAAAAAAAAUUAUUUUUUUAAUGUGGGAUUUGAAGUCUUUUCAUAUAUAUAUCAUAUCGUCACAAAAAAAAAUUAUAUGUUUUUUAAUGUAAGCUUUAAAAAUUUUAUUAUACUUUACAAUCUUCCAAAAAAAAAAAAGUUUUGGAUUAAUCCAAUUAACCUGUCUACCUUUGUAGCUGAUUUAAUAACUUUGGGAUGUAAGGAAUAUCUAAAAUAGUCUUAGAACAACUCACAUUUGUUUGCUAUCGAUUUGAAAAGUGAAAGUUGCUCUCUCGUAAUGUCUGCUUUUAAAAUCAAAAGAAUCUAACAUUAAAUGCGGGGUAUUGUUGCCGUUGCAUAUUUUUAUUUUCUGUUUUAUAAAACUAAAAACAGUUUUUUUCAUAAUUUUCAGGUUUUUUCAUUUUGUUUUAAUGACCCCAGUUAACGUGUUUGAGCGUAAUUGUGUUUGAUUUUGAAAAUUUUUUUUACUCAGAAAGUAUGUUAUUUUUAAAAAAAUUAUUUUUAAAAUCAACACAUCAAAAUGAUUUGAAAACAUUAAAAACAUAUUAAUUUAAAAAAAAAAUUAAAUUUUUAAAAAUACUUAUACAGUGCCAAACAUGUUAUCACCACCUUUAUUUUCCCAUAUUUAGAAGUUAUUUAAAAAACAGAAACCAAAGAUACAAAACGGCAACCAUGACCAUGCCAGGGCUAAACAAAAGCUCUACAAGACCAAUCCACGAGAGUUAAACUCCAUUUAAUCAAGAUUUGAAUGUGCUGGGCAAUGAAAGCCCACGAUUAUAUAAAAUAAUAAAAAAAAAAAAAUCAAAGAGUGGAAUGCUUGACUAUAACUGUAAAACCAAGCCUAGUCCAAUAAAUCCAUGUAAAAAUCCGAUAAUUCAGAACCUAGAUUAAUUUGCUCAAUGAUCAUGAUUUAUGACCUAAUCAAUUUAAUUACAUUAAAGCUGAACAUGAUUUAGUCAAGAUUUAUCCUAGUUAAAAGAAAAAAAAAUUCCAUAAAAUCUUAACCUGAGAAUCGAGGUCAUUUUCUUCGAGCAAGCAACGAAUCUCAAACAAAAAAAAAAAAUACACUAGGUGAAAUCAUCAGCCCUCAACCUAGAUAUGUGUUGGAAUUCGUCUUCCCUUAAUAUCCUUCUUCCUUUGAUGAAGUUUUCAUUUGAUUAAGGAUUUGUGUUCUCUGUUCCAAGUUGAAUGUUUUGAGUGACAAUACAUACUAGGUGAAUUGCCAGGUGAUGCCGCCGGUUGUUAUAUAAACACGAUGUAAGCAUUCGGUUGAGUAUAACCGGCGGUACUCGAAGAAGAAGACACGCAGACAAAUUAAACAAAAUGAAAAAAAUAAUACCAGAAGUAUUGAGGUUAAACAAUGCAACCACGUGAUUUAUGUUAGAGAAACGUAAAGUGUUAACUAGCUUGUUUAGAUUUGCAGUAUUCGGUUGUUUUUUUUUAUUUUUAUUUAAUUUAUUUUUAAUAUUAAUUAUUAAUUUUAAAAUAAAAAAAUUAAUUAAAAAAUCAUUUUUUUUACUAAAAAAUAGUGUGGCUUCAAUAACAAACAGUUUGGAAAAGUCUCAAAUACAAAGCCACACGUGCAUAACAAAUCGUAAUUAACUUGAAGGUGUCAAGAUCUGAACUCUGAGCUUUGGGAGGUUAGUAGGAAUGUCGAGGGCAUUUGGAGGCAGAAAUCCCGCCAAAACUGGUGCAAAAUGGGGAUAAAAACACUCGGUUCUUCCAUCUUUCGACAAGCUUGAGGAAUGGUCGGAACCACAUUAGCAAGAUUGAGCAGAAUGGCAGAUUUUUUAGACUCUCCCAAAUGACAUCAAAGAGGGGUGCUGUCAACUUCUUCUCAAGUCUGUUUGCCAAGCCACAAUGAAGAGAAUUGAAAUGGGAGACUCAAGGUUUCUCUAAAUUUCAGAGAAAGUUCAGUUUGGUUAGAAAGACUACCUUCAUUGGAGGAAGUGAAGCAAGCCGUAUGGGAUUGUGAUGGUUCAAAAGCCCCGGUCCUGACGGGUUCACCUUCUCCUUCUAUAAAAAGGAAUGGAAUCUUAUCAGCCCUGACAUCUUUGUGAUGGUCACAGAAUUUUUCAGAACAGGUAAAUUACCAAAGGGGAUCGGCUCGUCCUUCGUGACUUUGAUCCAAAGACCAAGAGGCCGAGCACUUUCUCCCAAUUUCGACCAAUUAGUUUGAUUCAUGGGUUAUAUAAAAUAGUGGCAAAGCUCUUGUCCACUAGGCUCCGAAGCAUUCUACCAGAUGUGAUAAGUGUAAACCAGUCUGCUUUCAUUGCGGGCGUCAGAUUCUAGAUGGGUUCAUGAUAGCAAACGAGGUUGUCCAUAGUAUUCGUAGCAAAAGGACCACGGGUUUUUGCUAAAGGUAGAUUUUCAUAAAGCCUUCGACUCGAUUUUAUGGGAGCAUAUCGAUUCUACCAUGGGUUAUAUGGGUUUUGGAUCUCACUGGAGGAAACUGAUCUUUGAAUGCAUGUCCACUUCUAAAUUGGCCAUCCUGAUUAAUGGCUCACCAAGCAGAGAAUUCAGUAUGGAGAGGGGUCUCAGGCAAGGGGACCCCCUCUCUCCUUUCCUUUUUGACAUAGCAGUUCAGGGGUAACAGUUCUAUUCAACAGGGCAUCAGAUUCAGGUUACUUUAAAGGUUUGCAGACUUCGCAAGGACAUCACAUAACCCAUUUGCAAUAUGCAGAUGACACUCUUAUUUUCCUGCCAAUGAUUAUACCUCUCUACUGCAUGUCAAGAGGAUCCUCCGCUGGUUUGAGAUCAUUUCAGGACUGAAAGUUAAUUUCUAUAAAAGCUCACUUAUAGGAAUUAAUUUGGAUAACGAAUACACUUCAGGUCUGGCUAACACAAUUUUGUCGCAGUGACUCCUUUCCCAGUCAGAUACCUUGGGUUGCCUCUUGGUGCUAACCCAAAUAGGCUCUCCACUUGGAAACCGGUAUUGUCCACAAUCAGAGCAAAGUUAAGCAAAUGGAAAGGGAAGUUUUUGAGCAUGGCCGGAAGGAUAUGUCUUAUUAAAUCUGUCUUAAACUCUCUACCUCUAUACUAUAUGUCGGUCUUUACUAUGCCAAAGGGCAUUGCAAAAGCAAUAUCCUCAAUCACCGUUUUUUCUCUGGAAGGGCUCCUCAAAUUCACAUGGUAUUUGUAAGGUUGCUUGGCAUAAGGUAAUUAAGAGUAAGCCACUUGGAGGUCUCGGGCUUGGUUCUAUUCACAGUAAAAAUCUGGCUCUGAUGUUUAAAUGGCUUUGGAACCUUGACAAAGGAGUGGCAGGAGGUUGGCAAGAACUCAUCUUACGAAAGUACCGGCCACAUUUUACAAAUGGCCUUCCUGUGUUUGCAGGUUCUUUAUCUCCAACUUGGCGUGGCAUGGUAUCUGCAAUUUCCUUAAAUCACAGCAUAGCCGCUCCCAUCCAAUCCAAUGUUGGGUUUAAGGUGGGUGAUGGGAGAAACAUCAGGUUUUGGUCUGAUUCUUGGCUAGGCUAUGCAGCCCCUCUCCAGUUCAUGUUCCCUAGGCUCUACAACCUCUCCCUGCAGCAAUCUUUAAGCGUUGCAGAAGUUCAUAACCCAACAGAUAACUCAAUCAAUCUUUCUUGGAGAAGACCCCUUCGAUCCCGAGAACUCUGCAUGUGUGAAAGCUUGAUAGCAGAAGUGGAACGUGGCCUAGUCUUCUCUGAUGGUGAAGACAACAAGAUUUGGAAACACCAUAGCUCCAACAAUUACACAGUCUCCUCUGGGUGCCAUCUCUUUGACGGUUUAAAUGUUUCAGGACAUCUUCACUCCCCUGCUUUGCUUUGGAAAGGGUUUGCGCCUCCAAAAAUAGAUGUGUUCAUAUGGCUUCUUUUCAAUGGCAGUGUCUGCACAAAGGGUUUCUUAGCUGAGAGGAGAAUCAUCAAUUAUGAGGAAGCUCUUUGUCCUUUCUGCUGCAAGGAGAUUGAGACUAUACAUCAUCUCUUCCAUCUUUGUCCAAAAUCAUGGUCUCUUUGGGGCAGACUAUUUAGUUGGUUUGGGUGUGUAGGUUGUCUGCCAAAAGACCAUAUGAUAACCUUCAGGAAUGGUCCAACAUGGUAAAAAGGAAAAUUUCAGCGUCAGGCAAUUACCCUUCUCUGUAAAGGAUUAUACUGGUCAAUUUGGAUAGCGCGCAACCACAUGAUCUUUGACAACAAAACUCCAGACUGGGAUGUGAUUUUUGACCUCACCUUUCAUCAGUUAGCCUUUUGGUUGAAGUCCUUUGUUAAAAAUUUCAGCUAUAUAAGCUCUGAUCUUUAUAGGAAUCCUGAAUGUAUCAUGAACUGGACUAACUAGUCAGGUCUAUAGAUUCCUUGUUUUCUUAAUGUUUUUUUAAUUCCCCAUGUAAUCUUCCUUAGCAGCCCUCAUCUCUUUAAUGGGGACGUAUUAUUUAUAAUAUUCUCGAUUACUAUAUAUAUAAAAAAAACUUGAAGGUGUCACCCAAUUAAUUAGAUUUUUAGUUUGCUUUCGAGAUAUUAGUAGUUCGAGUUCUGUAAAUCUUAAAAUUACUAGAGGUUUAUUUGGUUGUUACCUUCAGAGCCUGAACCUCUAGAAAUUAGUCGAGUUACACGUAAACUGACUUUUAUUUUUAAUUUAGUCUCUCAUUGUUUUUUUCAUUUAACUUUUAUGCUAGAUUUAGUCAUUGUUGUUUCGAUUGCUAUUUAUUUUAUUUUUAAAUUUUGGAUGAUUAAGGAUUAUGCUUAGUGAUUUUUUAUUAUUUGCCUUUAAUGAUAUAAUCUCGAUCUAAUGAACCGGGUUACUAUUUCGAGGAUUAAUUCGAUUUCACUUUGGUUUUUUAUUUAUUUUUUUAAACAAAAUAAUUACUUUUUAAUUUCAUCAUUUGAUUUUAGGUUAUUAGGUCUAAAUUUUUUUUUUCUCCUUUAUGUGGUGUUAUUCUGGUGUUAUAUCUUAGGUUGAGUGUUUUUCGAGAUAACUCAGGUUUUUUUUAAUUUAGUUUAUUUAGUUUAUUUUAUUUAAUUUUUUAAUAUUAAAUUAUUGAACCUUAAAAUUUAUAUUUUGUUUUGUAUUUUUUUUAUAAGUUUAACAUGAUCUUAAUGUCGUUGUUUAUUUUUUAAAUUAAUUUUUUUAAUCUGGAACUCCCAUCAUGGGUCGCAUGGUAGUCCAACUAAUCUGAGUUAAGUUAAAGUUUUUUCAAAUUUUUUUUUUUUACCAGUCGCACUGUGUAGCGUAAAACUAAAAGUUGUAUCAGAAGAAAUGUGUAGGACAUGUGUAGGUCGGCUAAUGCUGGCCAUAAAUAGCCAUGUCUGUGAAGCUAUGCAGGUGUGCUAGUGGAGACAGAAACACUUAUGCAGAAAAGUGUGACGUAUGUUCCGGUAGUUCCAAAAAGAAUCAGAUAAAUAGUUGAGAAAUUUAAUAUUUUAAAGUUGUUUUAUGGGAAACAUGAUAUUUCAAAAAUAUAUUUGUUAAAUGACUUCACAAUUUACGAUGACGAGAGAAAAAUAAAAUAAAUACUUUAAUUAUACAACAAAUCUAUCAUAAAAAAAACUCGACCAUGUGAAUCAAAUAAAAUUAAAGAAGUUCACCAAGUAGAUCACACUCAUUGAAGCUCUAAUUAUAAUAUCACUAGCAGCAUUAUAAAGUUCUGGACAAAAUAAAUCAAAUAUAAACAAUAAAGAUAAUCAAUGAUAAUGAUAAUUGAAAUGGGUCAUAUAUAAUAGGCGGAAAACAUGGUGAAAUCUAGGGUUAAGAUUAAAAAAGAUGAUGGAAGGGAAGAUGAAGGUGAAGAUGAAGAACAAUAAUCAGAUUAGCGAGAAGAACAGGUAUCAAAAUUCUGGAUGGAGAAGUUCCAGUUUUCCAGACUGCAACAGUAGAAAUGAUAAGAACACCUGCUAAGAAGGCCAGUAAUCUGUCGUGAAUGAAGAAAUUCAUGGAUGGUAGCAGCGAGAUUUAGCAUGAAGCAUUUAACUUGUUUUCUCUAUUGUAAUUCAUGUCGCUAGAGGUAAUAGAAUUGCACUUGUCUUGCCAGCAUUUAUAGAGAUAUGAAUCUGUUGAAAGGGAAAUUAAAUCGUAGAGUCAACCUUGUUGCGGAUUCCAAAGGGAAACCAUGAUGGUUUAACAGUUAAGCUUUGGUCAUCAAUGCAAUUGGUUCAGGUUGGGGUUUGGAAGAGGUUCGGUGAACUGCGGCGGCCGGAGCCUAAUCUGAUUAGGAGUGGGUACCCUAGGUUGGUUCGGUGGAACAAAUUGAAACUGGAAGUUGAGAAUGUUUCGUUGGUUCUAGACUCGGAUAAAGAGAGUUUUAGCUCUGGAAAACUGGGAUUUCCUCAAGUUUUAUGGAGAAAAAGAAAGGUGGGCCGGCGACUGUUGGUUCUAGUUUGAAAGACGAUUUAAUGGCAUUUGCUCGAGGCGUCAACGCUGUGUGGAGUUGGCUGUUCAGAACAGUAUUUACCUCAUAGGGUUGCAAUGCAAUUCGGAACCGACGAAGAUCUUUCAGGGUUGUGUUGGUCAAUGCUCUAAUUAACAGACCUACGAUUGCAUAGAGCUUAAAGCUUUUCUUGAGCAGAUGGUCACACGAAUAAAAACAGCAAGAUUAAGACAAAAAUUGUUCACCUAGCUAGCCUUCUUCGUGAGAACGAUUUGCUUGAUUUUAUUUUAUUUGAAUUCAUGGCUUCUCUUCUCCUGUUGGCAUUGCAGCAGGUUCCUAUAUGGAUAACUCCCGCCAUUGACAACAGAUGCAGAACAAGGUUAAAAGGAUAAAAGAAAUAAAUAUAUUCAUAUAGUAACCAUGCACUAUGGCAUGAAGUUAUUAGCAUUUAUCACAGUGUGCAGACAAAUGCCGUGUGCUGCUGGACCCAAUGCAGAGUCUACUAGGCGUUAUCUGUUCUGCCCAUCCAAUCCUUACCAGAUAAGCACUUGAGAGUUUUUUUUUUUAUUCUAUCCCGUUGAUUUGAAGUGUUGUUUUGAUAUAAAUUUUUUAAGGAAGAGAUAUUUUUCUUUAAUAUUAAUACCAAUUUGAUAUUUGUAUUUUUGUUUAAUAAUUUUAUUUUUUAAAAAUAUCUUUUAUUUGUUUAUAUAAUAAUUUAAAUAAAAGCAAUAGAAACUAGUAGAAUUCAGCAUUAAUUAAAUAUUGUGAUGAUGUUUGAUUCAUGUUGUGAUAACUUUAUAAAUAUUAAAUUAAAACAAAUUAUGAUGACUAAUUUAAAAUUAAUUAAUUAUUAAAAGAGUUUUUUAAUAUUAAAACGAUGAUAUAUUAAAUCAAUCUAAAUUUUACGGUUUAAUUUAUAAAACCCAUAACUUGAAUCAUGAACUCUACUUGAAAAAUUAAAAAAAACAUUAAGGUUGUUAUGAUGAUAAAGCACAAACAACAAUUAUAAUUCAAGAUUUUGACUAAAAGUGGAAUCCAUUAUACAUGAGUAUUGAUUAUUGAGCUAUAACCAGUCCGUAUAUGAAAAGGAAUGAAUUUAGCAAAGUUAUUAAACUCGGUCGACCUAGUGGCUGGACUGGUCUGGGUUUGUUAAAAGACAAAUCAGUGCAAUGACCCGGCAAAACCUGGUCAACCCAUGACCUGGAUGAGACUCGACAUUUUUUUUUUUCAAAUGUGGUUUUUCUUUUAUAACUUUUUUUUUCAUAUUUUUUUAGUUGGUUAUUAACACUUUUUAUAGUUCACUAUAUAAAUACUAGAAAAAUAUUUUAUUUUUUCAAUGUGGAAUUUGAAACCCUUUAGUAUAUACUCUAUGUUCCCAAGAAAAAAAAUUAUUUUUUUAAUGUGGGAUUUCAAGCCCUUUCAUAUAUAUAUAUUUUAUGUUCAUAAGAAAAAAAUUAUGUUUUUUCAAAGUGAGAUUUGAAACCAUUUAGCAUAUACACUCUAUAUUUCUAAGAAAAAAGUUGUUUUUUCAAUAUGUAAUUUGAAGUUCUUUCGUAUAUAUACUCCAUGUUCACAAGAAAAAUGUUAUGUCUUUUCAAUAUGGGAUAACAAACGUUUUGGUUUAAAUACUUCAACUUAAAAGGAUGACAUAAUAUCUUUUCAAUGUGAGAUUUGAAGCCCUUUAAUAUAUAUACCUAUGUUCCUAAGAAAAAAAAUUAUUUUUUCAAUGUAGGAUUUGAAGUCCUUUUGUAUAUAUGCUCUAUUUUCACAAGAAAAAAGUUAUGUAUUUUUCAAUGUAAGAUUUGAAACUUUUUAUUAUACUUUAUCUUUACAAAAAAAUAAAUUUAAAUUAAUCCAAUUAACCUGUCUACCUUUAGAGCUGAUUUAAUAAUUUUGGGAUGGAAGGAAUAUUUAAAAUAGUCUUAGAACAAGUCACAUUUGUUUGCUAUCGAUUUGAAAAGAGAAAGUUGCUCUCUCGUAAUGUCUAGUUUUAAAAUCAAAAGAAUCCAACAGAAAACGGCAACCAUGACCAUGCCAAAAGGGCUUAAACAAAAGCUCUACAGGAUCAAUCCACGAAAGUUAAACUCCAUUGAAUCAAGAUUUGAAUGUGCUGGGCAAUGAAAGCCCACAAUUAUAUAAAAUAAAAAAAUAAAAUUCAAAAAGAGUACUGGAAUGCUUGACUAUAACUGUAAAACCAAGCCAAGUCCAAUAAAUCUAUGUAAAAAUGUGAUAAUUCAGAACCUAGAUUAAUUGCUAGCUCAGUUGAUGAUCACGAUUUAUGACCUAACCAAUUUAAUUACAUUAAUGCUUACCAUGAUUUAGUCAAGAUUUAUCCUAGUCAAAAGAAAAAAGAAAUUCCAUAAAAUCUUAACCUGAUAAUCGGGGUCAUUUUCUUCGAGCAAGCAACGAAUCUCCAUAAAAUUUUAAACAUAAUUAGUGUAUAGAUUAAUUGGAAUCUUACCAAACAUAUAUAUAUAGAUCCUUCUAGCAUUUUGUCUUUAUUUGUAGUCUCCCUGCAUUUUGUAGUAGCAUGUCAUAUAUAUAUAUAUAUAUAUAUAUAAUUUGUACCAGAUGAAACAAAACAAUUCUCAAUACGUGGUGUUAUUAUACUUGAGAAUGAUUUAAAAGAUUGGGUCACAGGUUUCCAGCCUAUAUACUGAUUUUAUUAAAAGAACGAAGAAAUAAAUGCAAGUAAAUGUAAACAGAUUUCUGAUGCGAAUGAACAAGGCAAGACCAAUAAUGUCAGGAUCCUUGAUCAAACACAGAGCAUACUUAAUAAAGUAUAACAAGAAUUUAAAUGAUGAAAAUAAAAUGUUACUUAAAUUUGUAAUGUAAAUCAAUACAAGAGAUAUUGAUUAUAGAGGAGAGUGGAUAUGGGUUACAGGUAUGAGUUACAAGGGAGAAUAAAAUUUUCUCAGGGAAAAUGAUAGUCUGCCUUCUGAGGAUUUAAAAGUCCCCUUUUAUAGACGAGUUGACAUGGAAGAGGCCAAAAUGUGUUGUUGGGAAAGCUUGGAGAUUCCGUCAGAACCCAUGUGAACCCAUGUGGUAUUGCCUACCAUGAUUGGGUGAAGACAAAAUAAAAAAUGCCCAUGUUUUUUGUGGGACUUUCAUCUGUUGUCUUCUUGUCAUCGACACUGGAUUUGUUUGUUUGUAGUAGCAUGUGAUAUUUGUAAGAAAAAGCCUAAACCAAAUGGGCUUAAAGUUAAAAAGGACUCAAAACAGUUGAGUCGAAAAGAUAUGGGCUCUAAAGAGAUGAGCCUGAGAAAGCCUGAAAUACUCCUUUUUUUUAAUGUCGCUUGAUAGGUGGUAGGAUACCAAAACAGUCAUCUUCAUUAUCAUCUCCAAGGAAAAUGGUAGGAGAUAUCGAUCCAGAUGAGCUGGAUUGAGACAAGACCGUUUUCGGGUCUUGGCUUUGUAUAAUGCUUUGGACUAUUUGUGUGUAUUCUUCUUCAGUUCUAGUAGAGGCAAGAAGAGCUGUUGUUUGAGCCUUUCGGGCUAGAAACUUUGAUUGAGGAUGAUGAUCAAUGAUGGGAGCUGUUUGAUGUUUUUGUAACCAUUCCGUAACAGCUAAUUUGGAACUUUUGGAUUCAGUUGCAAAAGAAUCCCACCAUUUGAUUUUGAACUUGCGAACAAGUACUGGAUGUUCGUUUUGUAGAUUAUAAUCAUAAAACCAUGAACAUACCCAUGGCACAAAAAAAUUUGUAUAGAAAAUGAGAAGGGAAGAGAACUUCCUUUCAUAAGGAGCUAGUUAAAAUUUAUUUUUGAAAUGGAGGUAACCGUUUUCAACUAGAGGAUGGUCUUUGAGGUAGUCAACAUGACAACCAUAGUAGUCCCACCAUUGGAGGAACCAGAGUGGGAGGUUUGUAGUAUUCAUGUCAUUAUGGAAGUAGAAAAGCCAAGAAUGACUAUGGUUUGGAUUUUGUGGUAGGAAGGCAUUGAACCAUGCAUGUUGGUAAUCCCAGUACGUAUAGGAAAUAUUGAAGUCCUGGGGUUUGUACGGAAAUGUAUGGGGAAUGAGAGAGGUUGAUGUAAGGGUUGUCCCCAAUCUUUAGGGUGAAUGACUUUGUGAAUGAUACAUGUAGAAUAUGCCGGUUCUGUGUGAUCAGAAUGAAGUUUGAAGUAUUUGAACUUGACAGAAUUGGUAAUUUCAAGUAUUGUAGCAUAAUAGGAUUAUGGUUUGUCUAAAUUCCAGGGUUUGUAGUACCAAUGUGAAGGGAAAAUUUUGGAAGCAGUAAUGGAAGGGUUUUCAUGAUAAAAUCCUUCUUCCAUAGUUAAAAUAUUUUGGAAAGUAGUUUUGAAAAUAUAUUUGGAUUUGGUUUUGGGAAACUGGUUUGUUGUAAAGAAAGGAGGGGUUUUGAAGCAAAAAGGCCUCCUUGAGGUUUUGAAAAUGAUUUGGAAAUGCUACCUGUUUGAGAUAUAGAGUCAGUGGAGGCCUGUUGAGACACUUUUUGUAAUGCCAAGAGUAAUUUUGGUGAUUUGGAUAUAGUGUCAACCCAAUAUUGAACUGCGUCUGUUUGUACAUGUGGUGGUUUUAUAGUUUCUUCUUCUUCAAUAACUAUCUCAUACCAGGAUUUGAUGGGUUUGACAGCUAAGAUAAUUGAAGACAUGAGUUUUGUAGAAGGCUUGGGGCUCUCUGAUUUUAUAAGUUGGGUUUGAGGGGCUUUCCCCUUGUCUUUGGCCUUUGCUUUAGGAGGCAUCAAUACCUGUUUUGAAGGAAUUCUCGGGUUAGGAAAUCAGAAUGGAAUUUGAAUCUCCUUUAAUGUAGACAAUAUCGAAAUAAAAAAUACUUAAAAUAGCUUGCCAUCUAGCAAAAAUCUGUUUUGAAGCAAGAUUUUGGACAUCUUUUUGUAGAACUUUUUUUGCAAAUUUGCAGUCAACACGUGAAAGAAAUUUUUGAUUUAAUAAAUCACUUUGAAAUUUUGUAAUACAAAGAACAAUUGAAAGGAUCUUAUUUUUUAUAGUAGAGUAAUUUUUAUGGCAAUCAUUCCAGUUGGCGGAUGUGUAUUGGGGGAUUUGUUCUUUGUCAUCUUGUACUUGUUUAAGAAUCCCACCAUAUCUUAGGUUAGAGGCAUUGGUCUCGACAAUUUCAGGAGCUAACGGGUUAGCUAAAUGGAGGAGAGGAAUAGUUUGGACCUUUUUCUUAAUCUGUUUGACUAGGUCGGUAUGGAGAUCGAACUAAGGAAUGAGGUUUGUUCGUAACCUGUCAUGUAAAGGUUUGGCUAGACCGCUAAUACUUGGAUAGUAGUUUAGAACAUAAUUAAGACUGGUUAAAAACCUUUGCAAUUGGGUUUUAUCGGUGAUCUUAUCAGGAAAUUUAUUUAUAAGGGUUAGAGACCUUUCUAUUGGUGUUACAGUACCUUGGAAAAUAUAAUGGCCUAGGAAAUGGACACGAGUUUGGAAGAGAGAAAAUUUUGUUUUAGAAACAACUAACCAUUUUGUUUUGCAGUAUGAAAGGAAGUAUGUAGAUGUUUGAAAUGUUGAUCUAUAAAAUGUAAAAAAAUAAGCACAUUGUCAAUGUAAACAAUGCAGAACUUUGAAUGUGCAUUGAAGAUGUUAUUCAUGAUGUGUUGAAAUUCAGAUGAUGUAUUUUUUUAGGCCAAAUGGCAUGACAUUCCAUUUGUAUUGGCCAAAAGGAACUGUAAAAGCAGUUUUGUAUCUAUCUUUGGGAUCAAUCUGGAUUUGCCAAAAUCCAGAUUUCAUAUCGAACUUAGAAAAUAUGAAUGCAGAGUGCAAUUUUUGUAACAAAUCUUUUUUGUUGGGGAUUAGAUAUCUGAUCCAUUUGAGAGCAGAAUUUAAAAGUUUGUAAUUGAUCACAAGUCUUGGUGUGCCUUUUUCGAUUUCAGAGUUUUUAUUCACAUAAAAGGCUGCACACAACCAGGGUGAUCGAGACUUUUGGAUAAGACCUUUUGACUCGCGAUCGUGGAUUUCAAGUCUGCAAUGUUGUUCUAAAUUAACAUUCAUUUGGAUAGGUCUUGCUUUUGUAGGUAUAAGUUUUUUUGAAAAAAUAUCUUCAUAUGGAAGAUCAAAGAUGUGUUGUUUUCUUUUUCAAAAAGCAUUAGGUAAGUCUGAACAGAUUUGUUGUUCAAUCUUAUUUUGUAAAUCAAGGAUUUUCUUUUUUAAAUCAGAGUUUUGUAAUUCUUUGUUUAUACGACAAAAAGAAACACGGUUUUGCAAAUCAUGGAAAUGGAAUUGUUUUCCAUGAAUCUGUGCAUUGAUAUGAUAAGUAUGUAUGGAGCAUGCUCUAAUCAAAUUUAAAUUUCUAGUCUUAGAUUUCUCUAAGAAUGGGAAAACAAGUUUGAUGCUAUUGAUUUUGGAAGUAAUACAAUUAUGAUGUGCCUGAUAUGGAGUGAUCUUGUGAAUGAAUAGAGUGCCAAGAAUGAUGGUAUGAUUAAUAAGUUUUUGUAACAACAAAGAAUGUUUUAAGAGAAAUGCCUUUGUUGAAAACAUAGGCUUGAGUUUUGCCUGUAAUAUGUAAUUUUAAAUUAUUAGCAGCAGAGAGUUGUUCAAAGGUAUUUUGUAAAAAUCAUUUUGGAGCCACGCCUUCUUUGAUGCAUUUCAAAUAUGCACCUGUGUCAAAUAAGGUAAUAGUGUCAAGUUUGAAAUCUUAUAAGAAAAUGAGAGUAAUUCUAAUUAAAUAUUUUUUGGAAGAUAUUUGUGUUAAUACGUUAAGGAAAUCAUCUAGAAUAUGCUCAAUAUUUGUAAGUGCAUGUGGCAAUGCAUGAGAUUCGAUGGUUUAAUCUUCUGUAUCAGACUUAGUAUCAGACUAGCUUUCAAUUCUGGACAGGAGAUGUUGUAAUAUGGCAGUCUUUUUGUUGGGCUUGUUUGAGGGUUUGUAAUUCGGAUUUGAGGGUUUUGAUCUCAGAAUGUAAUUCUGGAAUGGUGACAGUGGUUUUGGAUUUCUUUUUGUUAAGGAUCUUUGUAAGGUCAUAUGUACUAGUGCUGGUAGAGGGUAAUAUAGAGCGGUUUGGAGGGUUUGAUGGAAAGUGCUCUGGUUGGUUGAAAUCUUUCAAUAACUUAUCUAAGUAGGUUUUUUGAAGUUGAGGAUCAUCAAGUCUUUUGAUAACCUCAAGAAUGAAUUUCUGGUCUUGGGUUAAGAUGUUAAUUUGUUUGAAAUUUAUAGAGGCAUCUGAAGUAGCCCUGGUAGUUGCUAUUUUAUCGAUUUGAAAUUCUUCUUCAGAAGUGUCUGAAGGAGAGUGGUAUUUGGUCAGUGGCUUCAAUGUAAAGAUUUUGUAUUUGGUUGAUAAUAUCUUCAUCUAUUUGGAACUCAUGAAGUUUGGUAUUAACUUUGCAGAAACAAGAUGUAUGUCCUUUCUGGUUACAUUUGUAACAAAUAAUGUUUUUAAGGUCAAAUUUUGAUUUGGGUUUUGACUGGAAAGGUCUACAGGGUUUGGUAAAUUUAUAGGACUUUUUAUAGUAAGGUUGAUCUGGUUUGGAAUAAAACUAUUUUCAUCGGUCGACAAGCUCCUCUCUUUAUCCACUCAGUCUUGAAAAGUAUCUAAGCUAAAUUCAGUUAUAUUUUCAUGUUCCAAUUAAAUAUUUUAUUAUUAUUAUUAUUAUUCCCAAAGGAAAAUGUUUUUCUUUUUAUCAAGCAUGUGUAUCCAAUCAUGAUUUUAUAAGAAAAAUAAGAAUAAGAGAUCUUUUAGAUAGAGCUGGACAUAAAUGUUGGCUAGGUAAAUGUUUUGUUUGAAUCCUGUAGACCAUUCCUAUGAGGAUGGUGAGAGGAGGGCUCCAAUUCGUAGAAAAAAAACGAUUCCUUGAGGUUAUCCUGCACAUGGAGAAAAAAAGUAGAAAAUAGAAUUUGAAACAGAAAGUUGAGAAUGUUUCCGUUGGUUCUAGACUCGGGAAAAGAGAGUUUUAGCUCUGGAGAACUGGGAUUUCCUCAAGUUUUAUGGAGAAAUCCCAGUUUUUGGUCAAUGCUCUCAUUAACAGACCUGAGAUUGCAUAGAGCUUAAAGCUUUUCUUGAGCAGAUGAUCACACGAAUAAAAACAGCAAGAUUAGGACUAAAAUUGUUAACCUAGCCUUCUUCGUGAGAAUGAUUUGGAUGAUUUUGUUUGCUUUGCUAGUUAUGUUAGCAACUCAAGCUUGGCUUUGACAAAUGAAGCAGAUGAAAGUGUUUGGGCUUUAAGCUUUUCAUGACCACCCCGCCGGAGAUUGAAUUCAUGGCUUCUCUUCUUCUGUUGGCUCUGCUACUAACAUGGUAGUAGAGCUUUCGACUGUCAGGCAUGGCGUCAGUACCGCAAAGAGAGGCUGCCCCCCCCUUGAAGUUGAAUAUGACUCAUCGGAAGCUCUUCGAUGCCAGUCUUCACAUCAAAAUUGCUAGUUUAACUCAUCAAAAUUGUUAUUUGUAUCUCUAACAGUUUAAUAUUUUUAUUUAUUUUUAUUUAAUUAGAUAAUAAUAAAAAUGAAAAUUUAUAAAAUUAAAUAUUUGAUUGAAAGUGUAAUAACUUUAUAAAAUAAUAAAUUAUAAUAACAAAAAAAAAUUGCUAUGAUGAAGAGUCACCAUAAUAUUUUUCAAUUCUAAAGAGAGCAGUAUAUAAUUCUUGAAGGGACAGUAUGAAAACGACAAUAAUAAUUAAAGAUUUUUGUGAAAAUUAAAUUUAUUAUAUAUGCUGUUGGUUCUGUUUUAUUUAUAAAAAAAAUAUAUUUAAAUAUUUAAAGGAGUUAUUUGAAAAAAAAAUAUAGGCCCACGAGGGGUGGGCUGGUUUAAAUUUCUGGCGUUAUCGUACGAUUACACGCGAAAAUCUACCAAGCUCGGGCGGACGGAAGAUUUGAUGUUGAUUACAGAUCCGACCCUGUAUAAAUUAACUUCUAUCGUGAAGAGCCCUAGUCAUUGUAAACACAACUUUCAAUUUCAAUAGAAAGGAGGAAGUCAGUCAAUACGGGUGUCUGCAGCUAUGGAUUCGAUCAAGCCUUUAGCCCCGAGCCGCCGCGUUUCCAAGUCCAAACACAGGAAACAAUGGGUACGAAUCAAAUCUAGUUAUAUUUCUAUGUUUUUCUUAAAAAAAAGAUUAUUCUUAAUGCUUGUUUCUUGACUGGUUGUUGCUGUAUAUCAUGUCAUUAUCCCCAGAAAUUAAAAAUAAUAGUUGUUCUUAUACAUGUUUAGAAGAACAGAGAGAGGAGGGAAACAAUGGAACGAUUGAAAACAGAUAUGAUCGAGAUCGGUGAGGGACAACAACGCAUCAGAGAAGGGCAACGAGAAAUAAGACAAAAGUUUGAAGAGAUAGGAUCUGAAUGCCGCAGGCUCAAAGAGGAGACGAUGAACAUUGCCAAGCAGAGUGAUUACAACCAAAUCAAGAUAAACCUAAUGUUUAGCAUCUUGAAAGCCCGUGAGGACAACAACUUUGCCCAUGCUGAUCACCUUACUGGGCUCCUCCGGUUGGUUAAAUUCUCUUCGCCAUUUCUUUUCUUAAUUCUUGGGAUUCCGGAUUUCAUAAUUAAUCUUGCUAAUGCUAGCUAUUACUAGCAGGGAAACAUAAGUUAACGAACUCAAAAUAAAAGAAUCAAAAUGCACUGUUGAUAAUUAUUUUUCUCUCCAUUGUUCGUUGUGUUGCCAGCGAGGAAAUGGAAAAGAAGGAACAAGGAAAGGCAGGCCCAGUUGGCUGACUAAUGAUCAUGGAGAACAACGAGCAGUUUGCCUUUGCAGUCACUCCUGAUCGUCUUUUCUUAUUAAAAUGAAACCAUCAAAUUUAUUCAAGUUUUUUUAAUUUGAAUUUUUUUAAUUUAAUUCUUUAUGAGAUUUGUGUUUUUUUUUUUUUUUCAUUCCUUUCUGUGAGUUUAACAAGAUCUUAAAUCUUGGGUCAUUAAUGUUAUGUGAGAAAUGCCUAGAACAUGUGUAGGUCGGCUAAUGCUGCCUACAAAUAGCAAUGUUUCUGAAUCUACGCAGGUGUGCUAGUGGAGACAAAAACACCUAUUCUGAAAAGAGUGCAGUAUGUUCUGGUAGUUUUAAAAAGAAUCAGAUAAAUAGUUGAGAAAUUUAAUAUUUUAAAGUUGUUUUUAUGGGAAACAUGAUAUUUCAAAAAUAUAUUUUUUAAAUGACUUCACAAUUUACACGUGAGAGAAAAAUAGAAGAAAGAGAAAAUAAAGAUUUUAAAUAUAAACCAAAACUUUCGUUACUCGAUAUCAUAAUUUUUUUUUUUACAAUCUAAUAAUAUUAAAAAAAGUUAUAAUUACAUCAAGUAAGCAAUUAUAAUUAAAGAUAGAAAAAAAAAUUUCUAAAAUUUUCAAAAGUGAUAAGUGACUUACUUGUUUUUGAAUAAAAAAUGUAAUCCAUUUCAAUUACUAUUGAUAUUGAUGAUAUUUUUUUAUGUUAAUAAAUUCAUUUAAUCAAAACCUUUUUUAGGACCUGAGAAUAUUAUAAUCAAAGAUUCAGUAUGUCUCUGACGUUUUUGUUCUCUUUUUCUCUUUUUCCUCAUUGUUAUUUGUGCAACACAUUUAAUUUGUUUUUUGAAAUGUUAUAUUUUUUCUAGAACAAUAAAUGUCAAUUGUGAUAUAUAUAUAUAAACUUUGUUAUUUCAUCAAUUAUCUUUCAAGUCAUGUUAUUUUAUUAUUUUUUUACUAUGACAUGCAUUAAAUGUGCUAUUUCAUUAAGAGUUCUUUUUUUUUUCUUUUCAAAAUGUGUUAUUUUACUAUUUGUUUUUUUUAUUAAAAAAAACUAUGUUAAUUAGUGAGUGUUUGUUUUCUACCAUCUAUAUUUUAAAUUGCUUUUCAUACAAAAAAAACAUUCAAUUAAUGCUUUUCAACUAGAAUUAAUAAAUGCUUUUCAAUGAGAACUAUAACAUGUAUCAAAUGUGCUAUUUCAUUAAUAGUUUAAUUUUUUCAAAAUCUGUUAUUUUGCUAUAUAUUUUUUAAAAAAAUUACGUUAAUUAGCUAGUGAGUGUUUGUUUUUGCAUUUCAAUUUAUUUUUUAAAUUGCUUUUCAUAAAAAAAAAGCAUUAAAUUAAUACUUUUAAAUGUUUUUGGAUAGUUUUAUAUAUUGAUAUAAAUAAUAAAUAAAUAAAAUUAUUUUAAAAUAUUUUCAAUUAAAAAACACUGCACAACAUAAUACCAAAUACACAAUUAAUUUAUAUCAUAAUUAAUGUUCGCAUCCGCCCAAUUCUCUUUGUGGACAAAUAAAAUCUAUUCUAUUAAUGCAUGUAAAGUUAAUGAAUAUACAGUUACAAAAUGGUUUUCUCAGAAUUAUAAAAACAUGCCCCACGGUUCAAUUAUAAAGCAUGUCGACUUUUCUGGCGCUGCUCUUCGACAAUCAACGUUUUUGAAGGAAAACUUGGUGAAAUCUAGGGUUAAGAUUAAAAAAGAUGGACGGGAAGAUUAAGAUGAAGAUGAUGAUGAAGUACAACAAUCAGAUUAGCGAGAAGAACAAGCAUGAAAGUUCUGGAUGGAGAAAUUAAUAUCGUAAUUUAAUAAGAAGUUCCAGUUUUCCAGACUGCAACAGUAGAAAUGACAAGAACACCUGCUAAGAAGGCCAGUAAUCUGUCGUGAAUUGAGGAAAUUCAUGGAUAGUGGCAGCGAGAUUUAGCAUGAAGCGUUUAGCUUGUUUUCUCUAUUGUAAUUCAUGUCGCUAGAGGUAAUAGAAUUGCACUUGUCUUGCCAGCAUUUAUAGAGAUAUGACUUUGUUGAAAGGGAAAAUCGCUGAGUCAACAUUGUUGGGGACUCCAAAGGGAAUACAUGAUGGUUUAACAGUUAAUCUUUGGUCAUCAAUGCAAUUAGUUCAGGUUUGGGUUUGGAAGAUGUUCGAUGAACAGCAGCGGCCCGAGCCUAAUCUGAUGAAGAGUGGGUACCCUAGGUUGGCUCGGUGGAACAAUGAAACAGAAAGUUGAGAAUGUUUCGUUGGGUUUAGACUCGGAUAAAGAGAGUUUUAGCUCUGGAAAACUGGGAUUUCCUCAAGUUUUAUGGAAAAAAACAAAUGUGGGCGACUGUUGGUUCUAGUUUGAAUGACGAAUUAAUGGCAUUUGUUCGAUGCGUCUGGGUUUCAAUGUUCUGUGGAGUUGGCUGUUCAGAACAGUAUUUACCGCAUAGGGUUGCAAUGCAAUUCGGAACCGACGAAGAUCUUUCAGGGUUGUGUUGGUCAGUGCUCUAAUUAACAGACCUGAGAUUGCAGAGAGCUUAAAGCUUUUGUUGAAGAGCUUGAGCAGAUGAUCACACGAAUAAAAGCAGCAAGAUUAAGACUAAAAUUGUUAACCUAGCUAGCCUUCUUCGUGAGAAUGAUUUGCUUGAUUUUAUGUUAUUUGAAUUCAUGGGUUCUCUGCUGCUGUUGGCUAUGCUACUAACAUGGCAGUAAGCAUUGCAGCAGGUUCCUAAUUAAUGGAUAACUCCCACCAUUUACAACAGAUGCAGAACAAGGUUAAAAGGAUAAUAGAAAUAAAUAUAUUCAUAAAGUAACCCAGUGUGCAGACAAAUGCCGUGUGCUGCUGGACCCAACGCAGAGCCUACUAGGUGUUAUCUGUUCUGCCCACCCAAUCCUGACUAGAUAAGCACUUGAGAGUUUUUUUUCUUAUUUUAUGAAGUUGAUUUGAAGUGUUGAUUUGAUAUAAAAAAAUUUAAGGAAGAGAUAUUUUCCUUUAAUAUUAAGACCAAUUUGAUAUUUGUAGUUUAUCCUACUAAACAUAGGAUUUGUAUUUUUAUUUAAUAAUUUUAUUUUUAAAAAUUAUUUUUUAUUUGUUUAUAUAAUAGUUUAAAUAAAAGCAAUGAAAACUAGCAGAAUUCAGCAUUUAUUAAAUUGAUUCAGAUAACUUUAUAAAUAUCAAAUCCAAGCAUGAUAACUAAUUUAAAAUCAAUUAAAUAUUAAAAGAGUUUUUUUAAUAUUAAAACAAUGAUAUAUUAAAUCAUCCUAAACUUUACGGUUUAAUUUGUAAAACUCAUAAUUUAAACCAUGAACUCCACUUGAAAAAUUAAAGUUGUUACAAUCAUCAAGGACAAACAACAAUAAUAAUUCAGGAUUUUUACUGAAAGUAGAAUCCAUCAUACAUGUUGUUGAUUAUUGAGUUAUAAUCGGUCCGUACAUGAAAAUGAAUGAAUUUAGUACAGUUAUUAAACUCAGUCGACCCGGUGGAUAGAUUGGUCUGGGUUUGUUAAAAGACUAGUCGGUGCAAUAAUCCAGCAAAACCCAGUCGAUCCAUGACCUGGAUAAAACCCGAUAUUUUUUUUUUCAAAUAUAAUUUUUCUUCUAUACUCCUUUUUGUUUAUUUAUUUUUAGUUGGUUAUUAACACUUUUUAAAGUUCACUAUAUAAAUACUAGAAAAAUAUUUUAUUUUUUCAAUGUAGGAUUGAAACCUUUUAUAAUAUACUCUAUGUUCCUAAUAAAAAAGUUAUAUUUUUAAUGUAAGAUUUCAAGCCUUUUCAUAUAUAUACUUUAUGUUCAUUAGAAAAAAAAAGUAAUGUUUUUUCAAAGUGAGAUUUAAAAUCCUUUAGUAUAUAUACUUUAUGUUCCCAAGAAAAAAGUUGUUUUUUCAAUAUGUGAUUUGAAGUCAUUUCGUAUGUAUACUUUAUAUUCACAAGAAAAAUAUUAUGUAUUUUCAAUGCUAGUAACAAGUUUUUUGGUUUAAAUACUUCAACUUAAAAGGAUGACAUAAUAUAUUUUCAAUAUGAGAUUUGAAACUCUUUAAUAUACAUACCUAUAUUUCCAAGAAAAAAAAUAUUUUUUUAAUUUUGAAGUUUUUUCAUAUAUAUAUUCUAUCUUCACAACAAAAAAAUUAUGUGUUUUUUAAUGUGAGAUUUGAAAAUUUUAUUAUACUCUAUGAUCUUCCCAGAAAAAAAAUGUUUUGGAUUAAUCUAAUUAACCUGUCUACCUUCGGAGCUGAUUUAAUAACUUUGGGAUGGAAGGAAUAUCUAAAAUAGUCUUAGAGCAACUCACAUUUGUUUGCUAUCGAUUUGAAAGGAGAAAGUUGCUCUCUUGUAAUGUCUGCUUUUAAAAUCAAAAGAAUCUAACAUUAAAUGUGGGGUAUUGUUGCCGUUUCAUAUUUUUAUUUUCUGUUUUCUAAAAAUAAAAACAUUUUUUUUUUCAUAAUUUUCAGUUUUUUUCAUUUUGUUUUAAUGACUCAAGUUAGAGUAUUUGAGUUUUCAAAAUGUAUUUUAUUCAGAAAAAUAUGUAAAUAAUAUAUUUUUUUAUUUUUUAAAAAAUAUUUUUAACAUCAACCCAUCAAAAUAAUUUGAAAACAUUAAAAAUAUAUUAAUUUAAAAUUAAAAAAAAAUAAUUCUUUUUAAAAAACUUUUAAAACACACUGACAAACAUGUUAUCACCACCUUUAUUUUCCCAUAUUUAGAAGUUAUUUUCAAAAACAGAAACCCAAGAUACAAAACGGCAACCAUGACCAUGCCAGGGCUUAAACAAAAGCUCUACAAGACCAAUCCACGAGAGUUAAACUCCAUUUAAUCAAGAUUUGAAUGUGCUGGGCAAUGAAAGCCCACGAUUAUAUAUAUAUAUAUAAAAAAAAAAAAUCAAAGAGAGUGGAAUGCUUGACUAUAACUGGAAAACCAAGCCUAGUCCAAUAAAUCCAUGUAAAAAUCCGAUAAUUCAGAACCUAGAUUAAUUGCUAGCUCAGUUGAUGAUCAUGAUUUAUGACCUAAUCAAUUUAAUUACAUUAAUGCUGACCAUGAUUUAGUCAAGAUUUAUCCUAGUUAAAAGAAAAAAGAAAUUCCAUAAAAUCUUAACCUGAUAAUCGAGGUCAUUUUCUUCGAGCAAGCAACGAAUCUCAAACAAAGAAAAAAAAAAACACUAGGUGAAAUCAUCAGUCCUCAACCUAGAUAUGUGGUGGCAUUCGUCUUCCCUUAAUAUCCUUCUUCCUUUGAUGAAGUUUUCAUUUGAUUAAGGAUUUACGUUCUCUGUUCCGAGUUGAAUGUUUUGAGUGACAGUACAUACUAGGUGAAUUGCCCGGCGAUGCCACCGGUUGUUAUAUAAACACGAUGUAAGCAUUCGGUUGAGUAUAACCGGCGGUAAUCGAAGAAGAAGACAGGUAGACAGAAUUAAACAAAAUGAAACAAAAAAAUACCAGAAGUAUUGAGGUUAAACAAUGCAACCACAUGCUUUAUGUUAGAGAAACGUAAAGUCUUAACUAGCUUGUUUAGAUUUGCAGUAUUCGGUUGUUUUUUUAUUUUAAAUUUAUUUUUAAUAUUAACAUAUUAAUUUUAAAAUAAAAAAAUUAAUUAAAAAAUCAUUUUUUUACCAAAAAAUAGUGUGGCUUUAAUAACAAACAGUCUGGAAAAAUCUCAAAUACAAAGCCAUAUGUGCAUAUAAUAAAUAGUAAUUAAUUUGAGGGUAUUAUUAAAUUAAUCAGGUUCUUAGUUUGCUUUCAAAAGGUUAUUAGUUCAAGUUCUGUAAAUUUUAAAAUUAUUAGAGGUUUAUUUGGUCGUUACUUUUAGGACCUGGAUUUCUAGGAAUUAGUUUUAAAAUUUUUAGGAAUUAGUCAAGUUACACAAAAACUACUCGAAUAUUCAUAAUUAUUAAAAUAAUAAUAAUAUAAUAAUAAUAAUAAUAAUAAUAAUAAAUAAAUAAAGAAAAAAAGAGCUCCAGACUUUUUGACCGUGCAUUCUCAUUUCACUUUGAAUUCUAGUGAAAUUGUUAUUUUCUUUUGGAAAACCAAAAAUUGUUUAACUUUGUCUCAGGUGUAGAAAGGUGUUUUCAAUGGGAUAGGGACAAGUUAGUAACAGAUCAAUUCAGAUCAUUAUGAAUAUUCGAGUGUUAGUUUUUGCAAUAUGUAUUUUAAAUUGCUUUUCAUAAAAAAAUAAUAUUAAAUUAAUAUUUUUAAAUGUUUUUGGAUGGUUUUAUAUAUUGAUAUAAAUAAUAAAUAAAAAAUUAUUAAAUUUUUUUUAAUUAAAAAACACUAUACAACAAAACACCAUAUACACAAUUAAUUUAUAUCAUAAUUAAUAUUCGCAUCCGCCCAAUUCUAUGUGGACAGAUAAAAUCUAUUUUAUUAAUGCAUGUAAAGGUAAUCAAUACAGUUACAAAAUGGUUUUCUCAGUAUUCUCAAAACGAGUCCCAUGGUUCAAUUGUAAAGCAUAUCUACUUUUCUGGCGCUGCUCUUCGACAAUCAACGUUUUUCAAGGAAAAAUGGUGAAAUCUAGGGUUAAGAUUAAAAAUGAAGAUGGAAGGGAAGAUAAGGAUGAAGAUGAAGAUGAAGCACAACAAUCAGAUUAGCGAGAAGAACAAGCAUGAAAGUUCUGGACGGAGAAAUUAAUAUCGUAUUGUAAUGAGAAGUUCCAGUUUUCCAGACUGCAACAGUAGAAACGACAAGGACACCUGCUACGAAGGCCAGUAAUCUGUCGUGAAUGACGAAAUUCAUGGAUAUUGGCAGCGAGAUUUGGCAUGAAGCGUUUAGCUUGUUUUCUCUUAUUGUAAUUCAUGUCGCUAGAGGUAAUAGAAUUGCACUUGCACCUGCUGUUCUUGCCAGCAUUUAUAGAGAUAUGACUUUGUUGAAAGGGAAAAUCGCAGAGUCAACCUUGUUGCGGAUUCCAAAGGGAAAACAUGAUGGUUUAACAGUUGAGCUUUGGUCAUCAAUGCAAUUAGUUCAGGUUGGGGUUUGGAAGAGGUUCGGUGAACUGCGGUGGCCGGAGCCUAAUCUUAUGAGGAGUGGCUACCCUAGGUUGGCUCGGUGGAACAUUGAAACAGAAAGUUGAGAAUGUUUCGUUGGGUCUAGACUCGGAUAAAGAGAGUUUUAGCUCUGGAGAACUGGGAUUUCCUCAAGUUUUAUGGAGAAAUCCCAGUUUUUGGUCAAUGCUCUAAUUAACAGACCUGAGAUUGCAUAGAGCUUAAAGCUUUUCUUGAGCAGAUGAUCACACGAAUAAAAACAGCAAGAUUAGGACUAAAAUUGGUAACCUAGCCUUCUUCGUGAGAAUGAUUUGGUUGAUUUUCUUUGCUUUGCUAGCUAUGUUAAUUAGCAACUCAAGCUUGGCUUUGACAAAUGAAGCAGAUGAAAGUGUUUGGGCUUUAAGCUUUUCAUGACCAACCACUUUUGGCCGGAGAUUGAAUUCAUGGCUUCUCUUCUUCUGUUGGCUCUGCUACUAACAUGGUAGUAGAGCUUUCGACUGUCAGGCAUGGCGUCACUACCGCCAAAGAGAGGCUGCCCCCCCUUGAAGUUGAAUAUGACUCAUCGGAAGCUCUUCGAUGCCAGUCCUCACAUCUUAAUGUACAGUCAAAUGAGGUGUGCUGGACCCAACGCACAGUCUACUAGGCUUUAUCUGUUCUGCCCACCAAUUCUGACAAGACAAGCAUUUGAGAUUUUAAUCGAUUUUAUCCUGUUGAUUUGAAGUGUGUGAUUUGAUAUAAAAAAAUAUGAAGCAGAAAUAUUUUUGUUUAAUAUUAAGGACUUGAUUUGAAAUUUCUAGUUUAACUCGCCAAUAUCUCUAACAGUUUAAUGAUUUUAUUUUUUAUUUAAUUAGAUAAUAAUAAAAGUAAAAAUUUAUAAAAUUAAAUAUUUAAUUGAAAGGGUGAUAACUUUAUAAAAUAAUAAAUUAUAAUAAUAAAAAAAUAAGAUUGCUAUGAUGAAGAGUCGCCAUAAUAUUUUUCAAAUCUAAAGAGAGCAAUAUAUAAUUCUUGAAGGGCUAAUAUGAAAACAACGAUAAUAAUUAAUGAUUUUUAUGAAAAUUAAAUUUAUUAUAUAUGCUAUUGGUUAUUGGAAAAGACCUAUUGUACCUAUAAAAAAUAUAUUUAAAUAUUUAAAUAUUUAAAGGAGUUAUUUGAAAAAAAUAUAUAGGCCCACGAGGGGUGGGCUGGUUUAAAUUUCUGGCGUUAUCGUGCGAUUACACGCGAAAAUCUACCUAGCUCGAGCGGACAAAAGACGUGAUAUUGAUUAUUGAUUACAGAUCUGAAUCCUCUGUAUAAAUUAACUGCUAUUGUGAAGAGCCCUAGUCAUUAUAAACACAACUUUCACUUUCAAUAGAAAGGAAGUCAGUCAAUACGGGUGUUUGCAGCUAUGGAUUCGAUCAAGCCUUUAGCCCCGAGCCGCCGCGUUUCCAAGUCCAAACACAGGAAACAAUGGGUACGAAUCAAAUCUAGUUAUAUUUCUAUGUUUUUCUUAAAAAAAGAUUAUUCUUAAUGCUUGUUUCUUGACUGGUUGUUGCUAUAUAUCAUGUCAUUAUCCCCAGAAAUUAAAAAUAAUAGCUGUUCUUAUAUAUAUAUAUAUUAAGAAGAACAGAGAGAGGAGGGAAACGAUGGAACGAUUGAAAACAGAUAUGGUAGAGAUCGGCGAGGGACAAAAACGCAUAAGAGAAGGGCAACGAGAAAUAAGACAAAAGUUUGAAGAGAUAGAAUCUGAAUGCCGCAGCCUCAAAGAGGAGACGAUGAACAUAGCCAAGCAGAGUGAUUACAACCAAAUCAGGAUAAACCUAAUGUUUAGCAUCUUGAAAGCCCGUGAGGACAACAACUUUGCCCAUGCUGAUCACCUUACUGGGCUCCUCCGGUUGGUUAAAUUCCCUUCGCCAUUUCUUUUCUUAAUU
This 30760-nucleotide long non-coding RNA is filed under the name Populus tremula. RNAcentral describes it as "long non-coding RNA (PTRE_LNC000329)". The record is from RNAcentral. Lineage: Eukaryota; Viridiplantae; Streptophyta; Magnoliopsida; Malpighiales; Salicaceae.